AGGGUUCUUCGGCGCAACAACGCCGUUGUGGAGAUCUGGCGAGGAGCUUUGAAUGCUGGCCAGUGAUCGAUUGGCUUUGGAAGGUAUUUUGCUAGAGUUGGAUGUGAUAGUAUCGUCUGCCCGAAAUGCCGUUGUCGAGAUCUUGCGAGGACCUUUGUUUAACAAUGAAUGCUGGUGAGCGAUCGAUUGCCUGAAAGACAGCUUGGAUAUCAUCUGGAUUUACAGGAAAGGCAAGUUCCAAUUGUGACUGAUGCACAAUAUCAACAUCGACGAUCUAAAUAUACGUUUCGGACUUGAUGUUGUUGCUCAAGGACGCGAUUUCUUCUCACCAAUCCACGGAUUUAUCAUUGGACAGUAGAUUUGGAGCACUGCAAAGCUAAAAAGCAUUUCCGCACUUCCAACGAUGUUCUUGGUCCUUAAGUUCUUGCUCAAUCUUACGACUGUAAGUUUGGAACGAUUUGCCUUUUAUGACUGAGCUGAAUCAGUUCUCAACAAAAUUUUUUCCUGGAAGAUAGCUGGUUUUUUUUUUUUCCUUUACGAGCAUCAUCAGUCUUACCAGUCCCGACAAGAAGACAGAACAAUCUGGAAACUACGAAACAAAUCCUGUUCUUGAGUUCUCGCUCAACCUUACGACGGAACAAUUUGCCUUUCAUGACUGAGCUGAAUCAGUUCUCAACAUUUUUUUUUUCUGGAAGACAGUAUCCUUGUAUGUAGUUGCUGGUUGUUUUUCUUUCUUUCUUUACGAGCAUCAUCAGUUUUACCAGUCUUAUAAAACACCGACAAAUAGAGACAGAACAAACUGGAAACUACGAAACAAAUCCAGGCCUAAAUACACGCGGUCCAGCGCGUGCCAAAUGUGCAGUGAAUACUACACAAAAGCAAGACGUGUCGAGUGACUGCUGCUCGAUGCUAACUUGGACGCUCAACCAAAUCCAAAACAAAUCUCAACAGCCGCAGGAAAGCAAGAUCUGUGGUCACGAGCCGGGAGUUUCUCAAAUCCGAUCUAUCCAGGACACUCUGGAAUUAAGAGAUAAGGCGACAUCCAGCCAGUAAGAUAUAUUCAUAUAUCCGCGAAUUCAGAAAGCUGGUAUGCGGUUUGAUGUUUACAUGUAGCAGAGCUCUUUCUUUGCAGCUUCGCGAGGAAGACGCUCGCGGACGCCUCCUCGCCCGCUGGCUCCACUAUGACUUCCACUGCUGCACACAAGACAGGCGGAACGCUUGUCUUUGCUUGAAAUUUAUGGCAACUUGGAACAAGCGACGAGCGAGGGGUGAGCGAGUGCGCAGUGCAUGACACAACAGUGGAGCCGCUUUGAAAAAACUUAGCGCCGGAGCGCAAUGGAGACGAAACAGAAGGCAAGCACAAGCGUCAAAGUUUUGCGAGCUCUGAGAAAGAAACAGACAAAGUUUUGCAGAACUUCGCGUUUUUCUUUUGGCAGCGGCAUGACCUCACGCAGCAGUACACCGAAAAAGUUUGAAGAGUUUGAAGCUUGACUGUACUCGUUCCUAGACCACGGACAAAUGCCAAUUGGGACCAGCCACGGGAGCUUUUGUGUUUUUCUCGUUGCUGAAAGGAACAGAAGAUACGUAUCAUCAGCUCAGCUCCGACGGAAACGAAGGGUGCUCCGGUCAGCUGACUGAGAAGCAGGAGCAGAAGCUGCUGGUGUGUACAGGUGCAGGACCAGUUUUGGAGUUGUAGAUUGUAUUCCCAAAGCAGAGCUAGUGGCGCAGUUGUUACGUAGGUAUGCAUUGGUUUAAGAGCUCUGUUUUGGUUGUAGAGAAUCAACUUCACCAAGUUGGUGCUUUCCCUAAAACUUCUCAAGUUUU
This is a long non-coding RNA of Selaginella moellendorffii, 1824 nucleotides long. RefSeq lists it as uncharacterized. The transcript is spliced from 6 exons. Lineage: Eukaryota; Viridiplantae; Streptophyta; Lycopodiopsida; Selaginellales; Selaginellaceae. The record is from RefSeq and is a predicted model, not a curated record.